GAUGAACGCUGGCGGCGUGCCUAAUACAUGCAAGUCGAGCGAACAGGCGAGGAGCUUGCUCCUUUGACGUUAGCGGCGGACGGGUGAGUAACACGUAGGUAACCUACCUAUAAGACUGGGAUAACUUCGGGAAACCGGAGCUAAUACCGGAUAAUAUUUCGAACCGCAUGGUUCGAUAGUGAAAGAUGGCUUUGCUAUCACUUAUAGAUGGACCUGCGCCGUAUUAGCUAGUUGGUAAGGUAACGGCUUACCAAGGCAACGAUACGUAGCCGACCUGAGAGGGUGAUCGGCCACACUGGAACUGAGACACGGUCCAGACUCCUACGGGAGGCAGCAGUAGGGAAUCUUCCGCAAUGGGCGAAAGCCUGACGGAGCAACGCCGCGUGAGUGAUGAAGGUCUUCGGAUCGUAAAACUCUGUUAUUAGGGAAGAACAAAAGUGUAAGUAACUGUGCACGUCUUGACGGUACCUAAUCAGAAAGCCACGGCUAACUACGUG
This 497-nucleotide ribosomal RNA is filed under the name uncultured bacterium. Its description in RNAcentral is "partial 16S ribosomal RNA". It matches the Rfam family "Bacterial small subunit ribosomal RNA", at positions 28 to 507 of the family's 1533-position model. The record is from RNAcentral.